RNAcentral lists this ribosomal RNA (500 nucleotides) under Epinephelus fuscoguttatus (brown-marbled grouper). Its description in RNAcentral is "partial 16S ribosomal RNA". It matches the Rfam family "Bacterial large subunit ribosomal RNA", at positions 1797 to 2502 of the family's 2925-position model. The record is from RNAcentral. Lineage: Eukaryota; Metazoa; Chordata; Actinopteri; Perciformes; Serranidae.
CGCCUGUUUUUCAAAAACAUCGCCUCUUGCUAAACCGAAAGUAUAAGAGGUCCCGCCUGCCCUGUGACUAUAUGUUUAACGGCCGCGGUAUUUUGACCGUGCGAAGGUAGCGCAAUCACUUGUCUUUUAAAUGGGGACCUGUAUGAAUGGCAUAACGAGGGCUUAACUGUCUCCUCUUUCAAGUCAAUGAAAUUGAUCUCCCCGUGCAGAAGCGAGGAUAAAUACAUAAGACGAGAAGACCCUAUGGAGCUUUAGACACUAAAGCAGGUCAGUAUUAAUACCCUGAACAUAGGCUACGAAUAAACUGACCCCUGCCCUAAUGUCUUUGGUUGGGGCGACCGCGGAGAAAAAUAAAACCCCCGCAAGGAUUAAAUGUACUACAUUCACAAACAAGAGCGACAGCUCUAACUAACAGAACUUCUGACCAAUAAGAUCCGGCAAUGCCGAUCAAUGAACCGAGUUACCCUAGGGAUAACAGCGCAAUCUCCUCUUAGAGCCCA